Molecule: ribosomal RNA, 253 nt
Filed under: uncultured bacterium
Lineage: Bacteria
Description: partial 16S ribosomal RNA
Rfam family: Bacterial small subunit ribosomal RNA
Source: RNAcentral
UACGUAGGGACCAAGCGUUGUUCGGAUUUACUGGGCGUAAAGAGCGCGCAGGCGGUCGUUCAAGUCGCGUGUGAAAGCCCCCGGCUCAACUGGGGAGGGUCACGCGAUACUGAUCGACUCGAAGGCAGGAGAGGGUAGUGGAAUUCCCGGUGUAGUGGUGAAAUGCGUAGAUAUCGGGAGGAACACCAGUGGCGAAGGCGACUACCUGGCCUGUCCUUGACGCUGAGGCGCGAAAGCUAGGGGAGCAAACGGG